This 293-nucleotide unclassified non-coding RNA is filed under the name Hevea brasiliensis (rubber tree). The record is from RNAcentral. Lineage: Eukaryota; Viridiplantae; Streptophyta; Magnoliopsida; Malpighiales; Euphorbiaceae.
AGUUUGCCAUGGGAGCUUUUCUUUGGCCUCAUUAGAGAGUUUUAUUACUAUUCUGGUCAUUGAUCAUUGUGUUCUUCUCAGUGUUAUGCAGCUUGACAUGAAAUGCUUGGAUCCAUUAUGAGGUUUUAGGAAAGUGCUUGUGUAAAGGUCUGCUUUUGGUGAGGUACUGUCGAUUAACAAGUGGGAAAUGUCUACCUGUAUUUUUUUAAAAGCAAGAUGUGGGAUUUGCUUCUUUUGUUGUGAGAUCAAUUAAUUAAUGGGAUUUUUUUUUUAGGAGGCAACAAGAAAAAAAU